Cyprinus carpio carpio is the source of this 1141-nucleotide long non-coding RNA. The record is from Ensembl. NCBI's taxonomy places the organism in Eukaryota, Metazoa, Chordata, Actinopteri, Cypriniformes, Cyprinidae.
UGUGAUUCCAGGACGACUUCCUGUAAACACACUGAGAGAUUUGUGUGCUUUGAGGUUCAGCUUGAUUCAACAUCAUUUCCCACUGCUUUAGGACUUUGUUGCUGCUGGGAACGGAGCGGUAGGGGAGAGAGACAUAGAGAGAGAGACGGAGAGAGAGACAGACGGAGGAAAAAGGGCUUCCCACUAACAUGUACAUCAAAAGCCUUUUGGUUCUCUCUAUCGCUUUAUUUUUAUUUGGUGUCAGCACUUCACAGUGAGCGCGGUAUGGAAAUGCGUUUGGCUGCCUGGAAAGCUGUCAGGAAACACACACAACUCAGUUGCACGGAGGUAAUUUGACUGGGCUGAUGUCUUUUCUCCUUUCUGGUCGCCUCAUUAUACAGAGAGAAAGCAAAAUGGCAGCGCUCUGUGUUUUAUCUGUCAGCAUCUCUCCGUAAUGCGUUUUCAUACCGUGUGUAUUAGUUGCUAACAUCAAAGAAGUCGUGUAAGGGCCGCGGAGAGCACACGGGCGACGGAGAACCAGACAUCCUGAAAGGACAUUUCUGGAUUUCUGGAUUCCUUUGUGUUCAUGGAGUGAGGAGGGACACGAGCAGCAGGACAGGAGAGGAAUAACUGUGUGGCUGGGUGACAGGCCAUCUAUCCAUGCAGACUCAUGCCGUUUCCUUCAGGAGUGCUGCCCCACUAAUAGGAACAUGCCCUGGAACUCAAGCUGGAAAAUACAUCUCAUUCCCGCCCGCUUGUUUUUUAGGCCAUCGAGGAUCCUCAGUCAUCAAUAUGAAUCUGAGUCGGAGAGGGUUUUUCCCUUCUUUAUCCGUUACUGUGAGCGCCGGCAGCCUGAUGGAUCUCUGCCAUCACUUCUGAAUGAUGUUUGCCUUUCAUUUCUAUUUCUUCAUCUCUCUUUCUCGGCUCUGUCUCCAUCCUUUUUCUGCCACUGCUUGGGCUAUUCUGAGCCGCAAAGAAAGACAUCUUUGAAAUCGUCCAUGGAAAUGUGCAGUUUGGGGGUCACUCAGCUGCAGAUGAAAUGACUGAAUUACACAGGCCCGCUGUCAGCCGUGAAUCAGAUCAGCCAGUCAACUCAUAUACAUGAUUUUACAAGUCACUGAAGAAUAUCACACAUAGAGUACAUUAUCAAAUACUGCUUUUU